UUAAUCUAAUAGGCUGCACCUGGGGAUGACCCAGGCCUUGAAGGGAUGAUUGAAGAUGGAGCUCAGCUGGAGAGGAACGGGGGGCUGGUAUAAAGCUAGUAAAUUGACAGCAGAAAAGGGCUGCAGGGCAGAGAGUCUGAUACUAUGGAUUUCAGUAGCCUGCAGCUUCUCCCUGGGAGGAGAGAGUUUGAGCUGGUACACCCAGAGAGUGGGGAGCUAGAAGUUGUAGGAAGGAAUCCAGGGAAAGCAGACUACAGUUGCCAGGUAUAGGGUCCCUGGACUAGAACCUGGAAUAGUGGGUGGCCCUAGGUUCCCUUAUCAGCCACAGGACAAGUGGCACAGACCAGGCAGCAGAGUGCAGACUGCUUAGGAUAGUUGUCCAGUGGGACUUUCCUACCCUGGAAGGGGAGAACUAUAGUGACCUGGCUGGAGGGCUAAAACAUGAAGACAGAGCACCCUAAGACACAGAGAGUAAGAGAGAAUGGUGGCAGGGAUGCAGCAAGCAGUAGAAUAGGGUGUUGGAUCUGUAAAGAGCUAAUCCUCAGAGCUUCCAGGAGGAGGUGCCACCUACUGGUGAGUAAAGCACCCCAUGACAAAUGUAAGAUGGACCCCUGCAUAUCAACAGUGGCAAGUCUGGGAGAAGCAGUAUCUUCUAAUUACACCAAGAUCCAGUAGCUUCAACAUCCUGGGUGACCAGUGCAAAUGGGGAGUGGCUGCUCCUCCAACCCACAGGCUGGGAGAGCAGUCACAAGAAUGGAGGGAUCCAUCUCCAUCUACUCUCGUUGCUCUCUCACCUGCAUAGAGACCACAAUUCACAAGAUGCAGUAAUGGACAGUAAAACCAAGUGCGUGUGUGUGAGGGGAGGUGAUUUUGCCCUUUAUUUGUUGAGAUUGUUAAUGCCUCUAGAAGGGAGAAUAAAAGAUGUUUAGCUUUCCUUAGGCAAACUGGUCAGUUGCUGCCCUGUCUCUAAACUUCCUCGUUUGUGAAAAGCAACAAAGAGGAUUUUGGUGAAUCAGUUCUGAUGCCAGCUGGAUUCUCCUGAUUUCCCUGUCUCUGUUUGGUCUGGCUUUCUGCUAGUGGCAAA
This is a long non-coding RNA of Dermochelys coriacea (leatherback sea turtle), 1084 nucleotides long. RefSeq lists it as uncharacterized. NCBI's taxonomy places the organism in Eukaryota, Metazoa, Chordata, Testudines, Dermochelyidae. The transcript is spliced from 3 exons. The record is from RefSeq and is a predicted model, not a curated record.